GACGAACGCUGGCGGCGUGCUUAACACAUGCAAGUCGAACGGAAAGGCCCCUUUGGGGGUACUCGAGUGGCGAACGGGUGAGUAACACGUGAGUAACCUGCCCUUGACUUCGGGAUAACUUCAGGAAACUGGGGCUAAUACCGGAUAGGAAUCCUUGCUGCAUGGUGGGGGUUGGAAAGCUUCGGCGGUUUUGGAUGGACUCGCGGCUUAUCAGCUUGUUGGUGGGGUAGUGGCUUACCAAGGCUUUGACGGGUAGCCGGCCUGAGAGGGCGACCGGCCACAUUGGGACUGAGGUACGGCACAGACUCCGACGGGAGGCAGCAGUGGGGAAUAUUGCACAAUGGGCGGAAGCCUGAUGCAGCAACGCCGCGUGCGGGAUGACGGCCUUCGGGUUGUAAACCGAUUUCAGCAGGGGCGAAGCUUGUGGUGACGGUACCUGCAGAAGAAGCACCGGCUAACUACGUG
RNAcentral lists this ribosomal RNA (465 nucleotides) under uncultured bacterium. Its description in RNAcentral is "partial 16S ribosomal RNA". It matches the Rfam family "Bacterial small subunit ribosomal RNA", at positions 28 to 507 of the family's 1533-position model. The record is from RNAcentral.